RNAcentral lists this ribosomal RNA (100 nucleotides) under Acanthosepion pharaonis. Lineage: Eukaryota; Metazoa; Mollusca; Cephalopoda; Sepiida; Sepiidae. The record is from RNAcentral.
GUGUUGAAACACCAGUUUUCAUACAAUCACCAAAGUUAAGCAAUGUUGAGCUGUUCAGUACCUAGAUGGGUGACUACUUGGGAAUACUAGAUGCUGUAAG